RNAcentral lists this ribosomal RNA (1569 nucleotides) under Triticum aestivum (bread wheat). Its description in RNAcentral is "partial small subunit ribosomal RNA". Lineage: Eukaryota; Viridiplantae; Streptophyta; Magnoliopsida; Poales; Poaceae. The record is from RNAcentral.
AUGGUGGUUCUUGCUGCUUCCAUCAUCUCAAAAUCUGGAAAAGCACUUGUUUCAAGACAGUAUGUUGACAUGUCUCGAAUUAGGAUCGAAGGAUUACUUGCAGCAUUCCCAAAACUUGUUGGAACUGGGAAGCAGCACACUUAUCUUGAGACUGAAAGUGUCCGUUAUGUUUAUCAACCUAUUGAAGGCCUAUAUCUGCUGCUUAUUACAAACAAGCAGAGUAACAUUCUUGAAGAUCUGGACACACUGAGGCUACUAUCCAAGCUUGUGCCUGAGUACUCUUCUCUGGAUGAGGAUAGUAUCUGUAAAACAGCAUUUGAGCUUAUAUUUGCAUUUGAUGAGGCAAUCUCUCUCGGGAACAAGGAAAAUGUGACGGUGCAACAAGUCAAGCAAUACUGUGAGAUGGAAAGCCAUGAAGAGAAGGCACAUAAGCUGAUGAUGCAGAGCAAGAUCAAUGAAACUAAAGAUGUCAUGAAGAAGAGAGCUAGUGAGCUUGACAAAAUCAGGAUGGAGAAAGGCAAACUUGACAAAGGAGGAUACUCAUCAAUAUCUGGUCCCCGUGUUAUUGAAAAAACUUUCAGUGACAUGAACAUCAGUGGUACUGGCUUUGGAAGUGGUUCUGGAUUAAGUGGAAUAGGCGCUGAUAUGGACUCAUUUGCGAGUAAACCCAAAGGUCGUCCGUCAGCUGCUGCUACUGCUCCUGGCAAAGGUUUUGGUAUGAAAUUAGGCAAAUCACAGAAGACAAAUCAGUUCCUAGAAUCUUUGAAAGCUGAAGGAGAAGUCAUUUUGGAGGAUGCACAACCAAGUUCAGUUUCUUCAAGGGCCUCGCCUCUUAUACCAAGCGAUCCCAUCACAGUGACUAUUGAAGAGAAACUUAAUGUAAUAGUUAAAAGAGAUGGAGGUGUUAAUAACUUUGAUGUGCAAGGAACCCUUGCUCUUCAGGUCCUUAAUGAUGCAGAUGGAUUUAUCCAGUUACAGAUCGAAAACAAAGAUGUACCUGGACUCAGCUUCAAAACACACCCCAAUAUCCACAAGGAGUUGUUUAACAGCCAGCAAAUUGUUGGAGCAAAAGAUCCAAACAGGCCUUUCCCAAGUGGUCAAAAUGAAACACCACUUGUGAAAUGGAGAAUCCAGGGGAUGAAUGAAUCGAAUUUACCUCUGUCAGUUAACUGCUGGCCCUCGGUAUCUGGAAAUGAAACCUAUGUCAACAUUGAAUAUGAGGCUUCAGAGAUGUUUGACCUGAACAAUGUUGUCAUAUCUAUUCCUCUACCUGCACUUCGGGAGGCUCCAACUGUUAAACAGAUUGAUGGAGAGUGGAAGUAUGACCCAAGAAACUCUGUAUUGGAAUGGUCCAUCAUCCUUAUUGAUCAGUCAAACCGCAGUGGGUCGAUGGAAUUUAUUGUUCCCCCGGCUGAUCCGUCAACAUUUUUCCCCAUCUCUAUUGGAUUUGCUGCUUCCAAUACUUUCAGUGAUUUGAAGGUCACUGGAAUUCAUCCUCUGAAGGAAGGCAACCCUCCAAAGUAUUCACAGAGGGUCCGUUUGGUUGCUGCGAACUAUCAAAUAGUCUAA